UAAAUACUCCCUCCGUCCCGAAUUACUUGUCGCAGAUAUGUAUGUAUCUGGAUGUAUUUUAGUUCUAGAUACAUCCAUUUCUGCGACGAGUAAUUUGGGACGGAGGGAGUAUUUU
Non-coding RNA from Triticum aestivum (bread wheat), 115 nucleotides. The record is from Rfam. Lineage: Eukaryota; Viridiplantae; Streptophyta; Magnoliopsida; Poales; Poaceae.